RNAcentral lists this unclassified non-coding RNA (1203 nucleotides) under Leishmania donovani. RNAcentral's name for it is "gene:unknown". Lineage: Eukaryota; Euglenozoa; Kinetoplastea; Trypanosomatida; Trypanosomatidae. The record is from RNAcentral.
AGUCGCAUGGACGUGUGCGUGUGCGUGCCCCUCUGCCGUUUUCCCGUUGUGUCUCCGUGCCGCUGCCCUGCUCCUCGUCUUCCCCGCCCCCUCCCUGCGCGCGUGUGUGUGUGCGAGGGCGGCUGAUCGAGGGGACGACGAGGUGGAGAGCAGCCGCGGCACCGCAGCGCUGGGGAUACAUGGGGAGUGUGCAGGAGCAGCGGAGGAGAGGCACGCACACGCACUCUGGCAAGGGAGCGAUGACGCGGAGGCCGCAGGGGAAUACGCAGCGGAGCGAGUGGGUACGGAGGCGGAGCGGAGGCGAGGCAGUGUUGCUUCUCUGUUCGCCCCGCUUGCGUUCGACUCGAGUGUGUCUGCGUGUGCGUCCCCUGCGGCCCUCGGGCCCCUCGCCUCUCUUGCGCGCUUCGCUUCGUUUGUUUCGUUGCUGUGGCUGUCUAACUACACUUUCGAGUCGGCCAGAGUCCCGUGUGGAGAUUAUUCACACCAUAUUACGGCAUGCGGCGGCUUGAGGCGACCGAGGGAGGGGCAUGGCGUGCAGGCGGAGCACAAGGUGUCAGAGGGCCCUGGCCUGCGGCUGGCCCACCUCCUCUCUGUGCUCAUGCGGCACGCGCCUACACCAGCCCCUGCGGCCAGCACGGCUGACGUCGCCGCCUCCGCCCUCGAGGAGGAAGCCUGGCCGCGGCCUGCCUGGACCGAUGCAUGCCGCCCACCCGGGUCUGCGUCUGGCGCCGCUAGCGCCGCAGGUGCCCGAGGAAUGGACGAGCAAAGACAAGGCGGGCCGCUAGCGGCAUGGCUCGAUACCCCAGCAGACGACUUGUCUUCGCCGGCGCGGAUGUAGCCGUGGCGCAACAGAGGGGCGUGUGAGCUGUGCGCGAAUGCGUACAUGUGCCGACUUGCCCGUCGCGGAGUAAGAUUUUUAUAUUUAAAUACGCUGUUUUUCCUGGCAAACACGCGUAGCAGAAACUAGUAAGUGCAGCGGCAUGGCGACGAGUAUACAUAUACACUAUACACAUAUGUCUAUCUGUAUCUAGAGCGCUGCACCGUCAAUCCGUCAAAACGCCACGCACUUUGUUUUCCCCGCCGACCACCGCCCCCUGUGCUCGCCCGAGCGGGCGGAGCGCGUGCGCGUGCGUCCCUCUCUCCUCGCGCUUCUCCGUUGCUUGCUUUUUGCUUUCUGUCAUUAUUGUCUCCGUUCCUCGACUG